UAUAUGGAAGAAACACCAGUGGCGAAGGGCGGCUGUCUGGUCUGUAACUGACGCUGAGGCUCGAAAGUAUGGGUAGCAAACAGGAUUAGAUACCCUGGUAGUCCAUACCGUAAACGAUGAAUGCUAAGUGUUGGAGGGUUUCCGCCCUUCAGUGCUGCAGCUAACGCAUUAAGCAUUCCGCCUGGGGAGUACGGCCGCAAGGCUGAAACUCAAAGGAAUUGACGGGGGCCCGCACAAGCGGUGGAGCAUGUGGUUUAAUUCGAAGCUACGCGAAGAACCUUACCAGGUCUUGACAUACUAUGCAAAUCUAAGAGAUUAGACGUUCCCUUCGGGGACAUGGAUACAGGUGGUGCAUGGUUGUCGUCAGCUCGUGUCGUGAGAUGUUGGGUUAAGUCCCGCAACGAGCGCAACCCUUAUUAUCAGUUGCCAGCAUUAAGUUGGGCACUCUGGUGAGACUGCCGGUGACAAACCGGAGGAAGGUGGGGAUGACGUCAAAUCAUCAUGCCCCUUAUGACCUGGGCUACACACGUGCUACAAUGGAUGGUACAACGAGUUGCGAACUCGCGAGAGUAAGCUAAUCUCUUAAAGCCAUUCUCAGUUCGGAUUGUAGGCUGCAACUCGCCUACAUGAAGUCGGAAUCGCUAGUAAUCGCGGAUCAGCAUGCCGCGGUGAAUACGUUCCCGGGCCUUGUACACACCGCCCGUCACACCAUGAGAGUUUGUAACACCCAAAGUCGGUGGGGUAAC
RNAcentral lists this ribosomal RNA (746 nucleotides) under Lactiplantibacillus plantarum. RNAcentral describes it as "bacterial SSU rRNA". It matches the Rfam family "Bacterial small subunit ribosomal RNA", at positions 695 to 1439 of the family's 1533-position model. Lineage: Bacteria; Bacillati; Bacillota; Bacilli; Lactobacillales; Lactobacillaceae. The record is from RNAcentral.